RNAcentral lists this long non-coding RNA (761 nucleotides) under Heterocephalus glaber (naked mole-rat). RNAcentral's name for it is "lncRNA (ENSHGLG00000033155.1)". Lineage: Eukaryota; Metazoa; Chordata; Mammalia; Rodentia; Bathyergidae. The record is from RNAcentral.
CCAGCUUUCCCCUGUGCUGAAGCCGGAACUCCAGGCUCCUGGCCUUCAGCCUCCCUGCCUCUAGGCCUCUGGAUGUGGGUCGAGGCACGCUGCAUGAACCCGGGCCAGCGUGGAGAUGGCCUGUCGUGGGCCCCUCCCAGCCCUGACGACCUGAGCCAGCACCCCAUGUUCUGAAGAUCAAACCCAGGGCCUUAUGCAGGGUUUUAUCAAGUCACUAAGUUGCCCAGGCUAACUCGAGCUUGUGAUCCUCCUGCCUGGGCUCCCCAGAGCGCUGGGAUUACAGACCUUCGCCACUCAGCAGUUUCUAAGAGGUCGGUGGCGUUGUGUGCGAGUGUGUAGGCGAGUGUGCAACACUGCCCCUCUGAACAGCACCGAGCAGCCUCCCACAGCCUGACAGGAUUCUUGAGCACGUUCUCGAUGGCCACGUUUUCUAUUCCUGUGCCCAGAAAAUGUCUGCUUCGUUCUUGGGCCUCUCUCUUGGAAUCGACGUCGCGGCUCCUGCCGGAUGAGCUGCGAGCGCCAGCUCCCUUCCUUAAAUAGUCGGUCCCCAGGCGGCGACAUCCCGGCCGGGGUGGGCGCAGAGUGGCACUGGGGCUCGCACUCCGCAGCCAGCAUCUCCAGGGCUGCAGAGGCAGCGGGGCCGGGCCGGCUCUGCACCGCUGCGCUGCGUUCCCGUCAUGCGGAAGUUUCCCGAGCACCUCUUCUCCGCCUGCUGGGCCCGGAAGGCGACCCAGAUUCACGCGUUGGAAACUUCAUCUCCU